GGUUAAGCGACUAAGCGUACACGGUGGAUGCCCUGGCAGUCAGAGGCGAUGAAGGACGUGCUAAUCUGCGAUAAGCGUCGGUAAGGUGAUAUGAACCGUUAUAACCGGCGAUUUCCGAAUGGGGAAACCCAGUGUGUUUCGACACACUAUCAUUAACUGAAUCCAUAGGUUAAUGAGGCGAACCGGGGAACUGAAACAUCUAAGUACCCCGAGGAAAAGAAAUCAACCGAGAUUCCCCCAGUAGCGGCGAGCGAACGGGGAGCAGCCCAGAGCCUGAAUCAGUGUGUGUGUUAGUGGAAGCGUCUGGAAAGGCGCGCGAUACAGGGUGACAGCCCCGUACACAAAAAUGCACAUGCUGUGAGCUCGAUGAGUAGGGCGGGACACGUGGUAUCCUGUCUGAAUAUGGGGGACCAUCCUCCAAGGCUAAAUACUCCUGACUGACCGAUAGUGAACCAGUACCGUGAGGGAAAGGCGAAAAGAACCCCGGCGAGGGGAGUGAAAAAGAACCUGAAACCGUGUACGUACAAGCAGUGGGAGCACGCUUAGGCGUGUGACUGCGUACCUUUUGUAUAAUGGGUCAGCGACUUAUAUUCUGUAGCAAGGUUAACCGAAUAGGGGAGCCGAAGGGAAACCGAGUCUUAACUGGGCGUUAAGUUGCAGGGUAUAGACCCGAAACCCGGUGAUCUAGCCAUGGGCAGGUUGAAGGUUGGGUAACACUAACUGGAGGACCGAACCGACUAAUGUUGAAAAAUUAGCGGAUGACUUGUGGCUGGGGGUGAAAGGCCAAUCAAACCGGGAGAUAGCUGGUUCUCCCCGAAAGCUAUUUAGGUAGCGCCUCGUGAAUUCAUCUCCGGGGUAGAGCACUGUUUCGGCAAGGGGUCAUCCCGACUUACCAACCCGAUGCAAACUGCGAAUACCGGAGAAUGUUAUCACGGGAGACACACGGCGGGUGCUAACGUCCGUCGUGAAGAGGGAAACAACCCAGACCGCCAGCUAAGGUCCCAAAGUCAUGGUUAAGUGGGAAACGAUGUGGGAAGGCCCAGACAGCCAGGAUGUUGGCUUAGAAGCAGCCAUCAUUUAAAGAAAGCGUAAUAGCUCACUGGUCGAGUCGGCCUGCGCGGAAGAUGUAACGGGGCUAAACCAUGCACCGAAGCUGCGGCAGCGACGCUUAUGCGUUGUUGGGUAGGGGAGCGUUCUGUAAGCCUGCGAAGGUGUGCUGUGAGGCAUGCUGGAGGUAUCAGAAGUGCGAAUGCUGACAUAAGUAACGAUAAAGCGGGUGAAAAGCCCGCUCGCCGGAAGACCAAGGGUUCCUGUCCAACGUUAAUCGGGGCAGGGUGAGUCGACCCCUAAGGCGAGGCCGAAAGGCGUAGUCGAUGGGAAACAGGUUAAUAUUCCUGUACUUGGUGUUACUGCGAAGGGGGACGGAGAAGGCUAUGUUGGCCGGGCGACGGUUGUCCCGGUUUAAGCGUGUAGGCUGGUUUUCCAGGCAAAUCCGGAAAAUCAAGGCUGAGGCGUGAUGACGAGGCACUACGGUGCUGAAGCAACAAAUGCCCUGCUUCCAGGAAAAGCCUCUAAGCAUCAGGUAACAUCAAAUCGUACCCCAAACCGACACAGGUGGUCAGGUAGAGAAUACCAAGGCGCUUGAGAGAACUCGGGUGAAGGAACUAGGCAAAAUGGUGCCGUAACUUCGGGAGAAGGCACGCUGAUAUGUAGGUGAAGCGACUUGCUCGUGGAGCUGAAAUCAGUCGAAGAUACCAGCUGGCUGCAACUGUUUAUUAAAAACACAGCACUGUGCAAACACGAAAGUGGACGUAUACGGUGUGACGCCUGCCCGGUGCCGGAAGGUUAAUUGAUGGGGUUAGCGCAAGCGAAGCUCUUGAUCGAAGCCCCGGUAAACGGCGGCCGUAACUAUAACGGUCCUAAGGUAGCGAAAUUCCUUGUCGGGUAAGUUCCGACCUGCACGAAUGGCGUAAUGAUGGCCAGGCUGUCUCCACCCGAGACUCAGUGAAAUUGAACUCGCUGUGAAGAUGCAGUGUACCCGCGGCAAGACGGAAAGACCCCGUGAACCUUUACUAUAGCUUGACACUGAACAUUGAGCCUUGAUGUGUAGGAUAGGUGGGAGGCUUAGAAGUGUGGACGCCAGUCUGCAUGGAGCCGACCUUGAAAUACCACCCUUUAAUGUUUGAUGUUCUAACGUUGACCCGUAAUCCGGGUUGCGGACAGUGUCUGGUGGGUAGUUUGACUGGGGCGGUCUCCUCCUAAAGAGUAACGGAGGAGCACGAAGGUUGGCUAAUCCUGGUCGGACAUCAGGAGGUUAGUGCAAUGGCAUAAGCCAGCUUGACUGCGAGCGUGACGGCGCGAGCAGGUGCGAAAGCAGGUCAUAGUGAUCCGGUGGUUCUGAAUGGAAGGGCCAUCGCUCAACGGAUAAAAGGUACUCCGGGGAUAACAGGCUGAUACCGCCCAAGAGUUCAUAUCGACGGCGGUGUUUGGCACCUCGAUGUCGGCUCAUCACAUCCUGGGGCUGAAGUAGGUCCCAAGGGUAUGGCUGUUCGCCAUUUAAAGUGGUACGCGAGCUGGGUUUAGAACGUCGUGAGACAGUUCGGUCCCUAUCUGCCGUGGGCGCUGGAGAACUGAGGGGGCUGCUCCUAGUACGAGAGGACCGGAGUGGACGCAUCACUGGUGUUCGGGUUGUCAUGCCAAUGGCACUGCCCGGUAGCUAAAUGCGGAAGAGAUAAGUGCUGAAAGCAUCUAAGCACGAAACUUGCCCCGAGAUGAGUUCUCCCUGACCCUUUAAGGGUCCUGAAGGAACGUUGAAGACGACGACGUUGAUAGGCCGGGUGUGUAAGCGCAGCGAUGCGUUGAGCUAACCGGUACUAAUGAACCGUGAGGCUUAACCUU
Molecule: ribosomal RNA, 2898 nt
Filed under: Escherichia coli
Lineage: Bacteria; Pseudomonadati; Pseudomonadota; Gammaproteobacteria; Enterobacterales; Enterobacteriaceae
Description: 23S ribosomal RNA
Rfam family: Bacterial large subunit ribosomal RNA
Source: RNAcentral